GAGACUGGCAGGCUGGAGGCUGGGAGAGGGAAGCGGAAUUUCUGGUGUAGCGGUGAAAUGCGUAGAUAUCAGAAGGAAGGCCGGUGGCGAUGGCGGCUUCCUGGAACAGUCCUGACACUGAGAGACGAAAGCGUGGGGAGCAAACAGGAUUAGAUACCCUGGUAGUCCACGCCCUAAACGAUGGGUACUAAGUGUGGAGGGGUUAAACCCUCCGUGCCGCAGCAAACGCAGUAAGUACCCCGCCUGGGGAGUACCGGCCGCAAGGUUGAAACUCAAAGGAAUUGACGGGGGCCCGCACAAGCGGUGGUGCAUGUGGUUUAAUUCGACGCAACGCGAGGAACCUUACCUAGGCUUGACAUGUGGUGAGUAGCGAACCGAAAGGGGAGCGACCCGUCAAAUC
This 400-nucleotide ribosomal RNA is filed under the name uncultured bacterium. RNAcentral describes it as "bacterial SSU rRNA". It matches the Rfam family "Bacterial small subunit ribosomal RNA", at positions 629 to 1022 of the family's 1533-position model. The record is from RNAcentral.